AGGAGACCAGACAUGUGGAGAAAAGAGCAAACUUCGUUGGAAUCCUGCUGUGUGAUUGUCCUAAACGGAUGCUUCAAGCUUUGCUGAGCCAUAACGACAUCUUGGAGAAGGUACUGCAUCCAGAGACCUCACCUGAAGGCUACCACUCAUUCAGAGAUGACACUUGUUUCAAAGGUUGUCUCAGAGUUCAACAGAGUGGCAACUUAAAGACUUUUUUGACGUCCUGGAUCGUCACACUGCCCGUUUUGUCGAACUCUUCGAAUCUAAGCAUGGAGUUGUUGGCGAGAGGCUCCAACAACUCGUGGGACAAACGGACCUAAACGAAACAAGAUGUGGUGGCUCUAUGCACACUAAUACUCUGCGGUCUCCCAAUCCUUCUUGGUGAUGCCCCCACAGACUUUUACAACACCUGCUUGGAUUCUGAUGGUGACGACGUGUUGGCCAACGUCUCCUUUGGGACUUUGACUGUCAUUGAAGACGAUGGCAUACCACCCGGACCCAACCUCCUCUACCUGGAGUCAGUGUCAACUGGAAUUAUCAGUGAGGGAAGUAUUGUGAUGGAUGACCUGAAAACAUUGCCUGAGGCCUUUUGCUUGCUAUUUGGUUUGUCAUACGCCCUUAAUCUUGACUAUCCAAAGGGGAUGACCAACAGCUUCAACUUUGUGCAGCGUGUGAUGUUUAGAUUGGGGCAAAACAUGGCAAAACAGGCUAACUCUCAAUAACUUGCUGUUGAGUUAAACAUGUGGAGGGUUGGGUUCAGCAUUUGAAGCAUAACUGUUCAGUUUGAAUGUUUGUCAUGGCUCCAAUCAUCCUGUGUGUGUUUAUUACGCUUGGAAGAGACAUUAUUGAAACAUUGAUCAUGAUUGAUGUUCAGAUGUACUUAUAUAGUUAUGAUUUAUGCAAUGUACAGUAAAGAAUUGUGUCUUGGAAGACCGUAUAGACAGCACUCACUGUCAGCAGUUUGUAUAUAGACGGCACUCACUGUCAGAAGUUUUUGUUUGUUGUUAAAGGAACAGAUGACCCCUUUUUGAUUUUCACAUAUUUGCAGUAUUUCCUAGCAUUAUUCAUGAAUGUGCAUAUCAUAUUCUUCUCAGUGUUUUCAGUACUUAGAGUUAUUGGAUCAGAAUAGUUAGCAUAUCUUGGCAUAAUCACUGGAAAUUACUGGUAACUUUAGCAUCAAGCCACAAGUGAUCAGAGGGCAGAAUUAAAUUGCAAUUUUACACUGUGGUGAAUUUUAUAUUAAUUUUAAAGUGGGUAAUAAGUACUUAAUUUGUUUUAUUUGUACCAUAGACUUGCAUUGCUAUGCAUUAUUUGGCCAUACUGUUAAACGAGGCAAUGCGAACACAGAGACAAAAUUGCACAUUCAUGAAUGAUGCUUGGAAAU
Molecule: long non-coding RNA, 1384 nt
Organism: Engraulis encrasicolus (European anchovy)
Lineage: Eukaryota; Metazoa; Chordata; Actinopteri; Clupeiformes; Engraulidae
Exons: 5
Source: RefSeq, a predicted model, not a curated record